Molecule: non-coding RNA, 105 nt
Organism: Lactifluus volemus
Lineage: Eukaryota; Fungi; Basidiomycota; Agaricomycetes; Russulales; Russulaceae
Source: the annotation of a GenBank genome assembly
GCCCGCCUAGCUCAAUCGGAUAGAGCGUCAGACUCUUACAAUAGGCGUGGAGUUCGCACAAUGUGUGUAAUCUGAAGGCUGCGAGUUCGACCCUCGCGGUGGGCU